UAGCAAUACGAUGGAAAGUCUAGUGGCGAACGGGUGCUUAACACGUGGGCAACCUGCCAAGAAGUGGGGGAUAGCUCGCCGAAAGGCGAAUUAAUACCGCAUGUGAUUAGAGUGGACAUCCAUUCGAAAUUAAAGUCGGGGCAACCUGACGCUUCUUGUGGGGCCCGCGGCCUAUCAGCUAGUUGGUGAGGUAACGGCUCACCAAGGCUUUGACGGGUAGCUGGUCUGAGAGGACGACCAGCCACACUGGAACUGAGACACGGCCCAGACACCUACGGGUGGCAGCAGUCGAGAAUUUUUGACAAUGGGGGAAACCCUGAUCGAGCGACGCCGCGUGGAGGAUGAAGGUCUUCGGAUUGUAAACUCCUGUCAUUGGGGAACAAUGCGUGACGCUUAACUGCCGUUGCGUUGAUAGUACCCGAAGAGGAAGAGACGGCUAACUCUGUGCCAGCAGCCGCGGUAAUAUAGAGGUCUCAAGCGUUGUUCGGAUUCAUUGGGCGUAAAGGGUGCGUAGGCGGCGCGGUAAGUCGGGUGUGAAAUCUCGGAGCUUAACUCCGAAACUGCAUUCGAUACUGCCGUGCUUGAGGACUGGAGAGGAGACUGGAAUUCACGGUGUAGCA
RNAcentral lists this ribosomal RNA (620 nucleotides) under uncultured Verrucomicrobiota bacterium. Its description in RNAcentral is "bacterial SSU rRNA". It matches the Rfam family "Bacterial small subunit ribosomal RNA", at positions 77 to 680 of the family's 1533-position model. Lineage: Bacteria; Pseudomonadati; Verrucomicrobiota. The record is from RNAcentral.